Molecule: ribosomal RNA, 432 nt
Filed under: uncultured bacterium
Lineage: Bacteria
Description: partial 16S ribosomal RNA
Rfam family: Bacterial small subunit ribosomal RNA
Source: RNAcentral
CCUACGGGUGGCAGCAGUCGAGAAUUUUUCACAAUGGGCGCAAGCCUGAUGGAGCGACGCCGCGUGGGGGAUGAAUGGCUUCGGCCCGUAAACCCCUGUCAUUCGCGAUCUAGUAGCGGAAGAGGAAGGGACGGCUAACUCUGUGCCAGCAGCCGCGGUAAUACAGAGGUCCCAAGCGUUGUUCGGAUUCACUGGGCGUAAAGGGUGCGUAGGUGGUGAGGUAAGUCGGAUGUGAAAGCUCGGAGCUCAACUCCGAAAUGGCAUUGGAAACUACCUUGCUCGAGGGUUGGAGGGGGGACUGGAAUACUUGGUGUAGCAGUGAAAUGCGUAGAUAUCAAGUGGAACACCAGUGGCGAAGGCGAGUCCCUGGACAACCCUGACACUGAGGCACGAAAGCUAGGGGAGCAAACAGGAUUAGAUACCCUUGUAGUC